AGUGAACGCUGGCGGUAGGCCUAACACAUGCAAGUCGAACGGCAGCACAGUAAGAGCUUGCUCUUACGGGUGGCGAGUGGCGGACGCGUGAGGAAUACAUCGGAAUCUACUUUUUCGUGGGGGAUAACGUAGGGAAACUUACGCUAAUACCGCAUACGACCUACGGGUGAAAGCAGGGGAUCUUCGGACCUUGCGCGAUUGAAUGAGCCGAUGUCGGAUUAGCUAGUUGGCGGGGUAAAGGCCCACCAAGGCGACGAUCCGUAGCUGGUCUGAGAGGAUGAUCAGCCACACUGGAACUGAGACACGGUCCAGACUCCUACGGGAGGCAGCAGUGGGGAAUAUUGGACAAUGGGCGCAAGCCUGAUCCAGCCAUACCGCGUGGGUGAAGAAGGCCUUCGGGUUGUAAAGCCCUUUUGUUGGGAAAGAAAAGCAGCAGGUUAAUACCCCGCUGUUCGGACGGUACCCAAAGAAUAAGCACCGGCUAACUUCGUG
RNAcentral lists this ribosomal RNA (492 nucleotides) under uncultured bacterium. RNAcentral's name for it is "partial 16S ribosomal RNA". It matches the Rfam family "Bacterial small subunit ribosomal RNA", at positions 29 to 507 of the family's 1533-position model. The record is from RNAcentral.